Long non-coding RNA from Esox lucius (northern pike), 3865 nucleotides. Lineage: Eukaryota; Metazoa; Chordata; Actinopteri; Esociformes; Esocidae. The record is from Ensembl.
CCCCCUCUAAAAAAAAAAUCAAAGGAAAAUGAUAAACCGAGUCACCACCACAAAACGUAUUUUGUGGAUUGCACAUGAAGGUUAUUGUUUUCAAAGCCUCACACAAAACCCCAUCUUCAUACAGUAAAUAUAUAAUGUUUGGAGCUUAAUCACUGAUCGGCUGCUUGAGGAAGACUUGGACACCGAUUGAGAGAGAAGAGAUUUGUGCUGGUCACAUAUGUUGUGUGUCCUAUCCAGUAGUUUUGUUUGAGCAUUUCAUUGAUCAACCAAAUUCUAUGUACAUGUAUUUUAAAUUCAGUCUUCAAAUACCUGGGCUAAAUUGUUUCCAAAUACAAUCCAUUAUAACUAAUAAUCUUUUCACAUGUGGUGUAAUAGUGUUUAAACCCAGAUUUGGUGUCUCAUAUGGGACAAGCUUCAGUUUUCUCUCCUUUAUUCUGGCUGUCCAGUUAGCGCUACCAAGCUGUCUGGAAUCCAAUUCAUGAACUCAUUCUAAUUCCAUCAGGCAAAUCUGUGUGAGUGCCAUCUUGCAAUGACAUACAAACAGUAAUUGGCUGUCAGCCCAGACAGAUGUGGGACCUGGCUCCUCUGUGUCUGCUCAGCGUUCACCUCUACCAUCUACAGGUGAGUCAAUCAUCCACAGUGGAAAAACACAGUCUCUGGUCUGAGGAUACACCACCCCGAAUGCUAAACUGUCCUUGUUAGAACCUUGGUCUAAUCAUUACAACAGGGUUGAGCUAACAACAACAGCAACACAGCAGAGACCAGCCGCCAGUUAAGCCCAGCCCUCCCGCCAGGAAUCAGCCAACAGCCAGAAGGUUGUGAAUAUUAAAAAGAGCUUAUAGAACUGUUCGAACCAGCAGGCCAAGGAAUUUCAGUAUUACUUGACUGGCGGGAGACAAGGGGAAGGACAGGAAGGAGUUAAGAGAAGGAAAGGAGGGGACAAGUGGGGACUUGAAAAGACCAAAGCUGGGGCAGAGAGUAAGAAAAGGAGCAGAGUAACUGAAGAAAGGAGAGGAGAGCUGGUGAAGGGCCAAUGUAUUCAGUCAGAAAAGCUAACAGCUACACCAACUGACUUUGGUCAAUCAUAUUUAAUGAAAUAGUAAACAGUCAGAAUUCCACAGAACACUUCAACUCGGAAAAAAAUAAUUUAAGAGAGAGACAUUUUUGUUGAGGACAAAUCUGAGCAAUGUUUUUAUUGCCGUUUCAAUAUCUUUCUAGUAAAAACGUAUUUUUGUAAGGAGAUACAGGUUCUCAUGUCCAGCAAGUAUUCUCACAGAGGCUACUUUACACGUGUUCCAUAUAGACAUCCCUCCAUCGCUCCUAUAACACAUAGCGUAGCAUACAAACAACCGAUCUUCAUAUACAGUAGUAUUUACAGUAACACAGUACAAGCAGAAAUAAUACAUCUUCCUCUGUCACAGUAACCCCGUCGACAGACGUGACCGUUUGUCAAAAAUGGAAGCCCAUUUCACAUGAGAACAUGAACAAAAAUAACAGAAUAUAAUUUUUCAAAUAAAUACAACGUAUCUAAGCAGGUGAAUAACGUCUCAAAAAUAUGACCAUUCCCAGUACACAACAAGACAAGGAGUUUCUGCAGCCAACCAGUGGCUAAACUGGAAACCAGACCAGUGGUGCAAUAUAACCAGUAAGGCCCAACGUUAGAAAUUACCCAUAUCAACCAGCAGUCAGGGCUCGUGUUUCUGUAUGUAGUGCCUUAGAUUAAAAUUCCUAGAUUGGCUAACCCCAUUCAUUACCCUUUACUGAGGAGCUUGUGUCUGUUCUAUUCAUUCUAAUUCUGUGGAGCAUUAUACUCUUAUUUUUCAGGUAGUAAUGCUUCCACCUGAAACAGAACUUACAUAAAUACUCUCAAAUAAAGACUCUGUUCUACUUCGUAGUUAUAAAGUGUUCUUCUUACCAGUGGUAAGUAUAUACAUAUAAAUAAAUCAUGCAUGAAUAAAUCUAUUACACUGAAUAACAUCUCUUCAUUUGACCGUUGAGUAACUUCAUAUGUAUGUCUGUAGAUAAAAAUAGGUAGAUUCUUAAGCUAGCAGCGUUCCAUGUCAGGUCUCCCCUUCAUCCAUACAAAUUUAAUGGUGAGGGACUCCCACAACUUCAUCUCCAAACUCUGUCAAGCCCACUGGAGAAGGGCCCUAGUCCAGCAGUUCCUCUAUAUCAUGUGUUACAGACACCAUAUCUACCAUUAGACAACAUGCCUGGGAACAGCAUCAGUGACAGUUUCAUUUAUACACAAUAAAAGUGACAGUUUCAUUUAUACACAAUUCCCUGGUUUUGGAAUGUCUUUUUGAGGAACAUACAAUGGAGAUCAUAAGGAACAUCGUGGUGGAAGUGGCAUGCCUCCUGGGAUUAUUUGUGUCAACCUCCACUCACUGAUUGUAAAUUCACACAGUAAAACUCGAUUUUAGACUUCAUUGUGACACCCCAAAGUGGAACUUUGAACUCUACUGAGACAUCACAUGCUAAAACUCAGAAUUCUAAACUCAACUGUGACAUCACAAAGUGGAAUUUGAAAUCCACUGUGACAUCGUCUAACCUGAAAACAAUUCAUUUGAUUUUCCGUUGUGACAUCAUACAGUAACACCCCUGAACUUUGAACUCCACAGUGUAGUCCCCCCAAAGCAUCAAAUGCCACACAGUGUUAGACACCCAAUCCACUGCUCCUAACAGGAAACCGUAAAAAUAGGUAAAGUAGCUAGUCUCAUAAUGAAAUUGAGCUCAGUUCACAGUUAAGAGUGUGGAUCUUUAUGCGCUGAGGAGAGUUGGUCGCAGUACAGUAGCAAAGCCUGUUCAGGAGCGUCAUCAGUUACAGGACAAACCAGUUUCAAAAGUCUUCAAAACAAAAUAAAAUCUAUAGAAUAUAAAACAUCUGACAUCAAAUAAAUCUGAAAAUAUAUACAACUUAAUCUGUAAUGCAAAAUAAAUAUAUAACUAUUUAUAUUUAAAUAAUACAUAGCAUAAUAUAAUAUAUCUCACAUCUCUGGUCAGAAGGUGGGUUUGUGGUAGGCAAACCCAUUUGUCAGUCAAACAGUCAGCCAACGUCUCCCCUCCUCCAACAGAGCCUGGUAGGCCUGACAGUCAGGUGGUCAGCCAAUCCUAGGGCUGUUUCAUUCCACAAGCUGUUUCGAAAUGAGGCACAGCUCAGGAGGCAGGAACACACAAACCGUUCCACACCUGUCAAGUCCUUGUGUAAACAGGCCCUAAAAAUCAUCUUUAACCGUCACCAUCUACUCACAACCGUAGUUUUUUUUGGAAAAUGCCAUCUUUGGAUGAAAGAAAGAACGGACAAACUAAAGUAAAAAAAGGUAUUCUAGAACUCCCCCCUGAGAAUGUUCCAUUUGUAUUCAAGAAAGGGGUUGUCAAAGGUCGUUGACAUGGAAACUGGGCAUGCGGGAAGAGAGCAGGUGUAUAUGGGUAAGGUUUUACUAUGAACACUACGCUGAAAUGCAUGAAUGUUAAAAUAUCUCUCAGCACUGCUACAUUUCUCCUUAAAAAUCAUCUGCCACCAUAGGUUUUAUAUCUAUUAUAUCCACAACCUGUGUGCAGAGAAUCAACGCAAACAGUAUUAUAAACAUGCAAUACUGGGGGGUUUACCACAGCCCCUCCUACUCACCCCUCCUUACCGCAACACACACAUACACACACACGCGCACACACACGCGCACACACACAAAAGCGAGCAUACACACACACCCUUCUGUGACAGUUAACACAGUCCUCAGCACUGCAGUGUUAUACAGUGGUGUUAGAUGGUUCUCUCUUUACACCAUCUUGAGAGGUAGGUGGAAGGACAGGUUGGGAGAACGUGGGACUGGGGUGGGAGGACGGGAGACGGGGGUGGGAGGAUGGG